CCUACGGGAGGCAGCAGUAGGGAAUCUUCGGCAAUGGGCGAAAGCCUGACCGAGCAACGCCGCGUGAAUGAAGAAGGCCUUCGGGUUGUAAAAUUCUGUUAUGAGGGAAGAAAGGCGAUAGGAGGAAAUGACUAUCAAUUGACGGUACCUUAUGAGAAAGCCACGGCUAACUACGUGCCAGCAGCCGCGGUAAUGCGUAGGUGGCAAGCGUUAUCCGGAAUUAUUGGGCGUAAAGGGCGCGCAGGUGAUU
This 250-nucleotide ribosomal RNA is filed under the name uncultured bacterium. RNAcentral's name for it is "partial 16S ribosomal RNA". It matches the Rfam family "Bacterial small subunit ribosomal RNA", at positions 338 to 580 of the family's 1533-position model. The record is from RNAcentral.